Molecule: long non-coding RNA, 4301 nt
Filed under: Sus scrofa (pig)
Lineage: Eukaryota; Metazoa; Chordata; Mammalia; Artiodactyla; Suidae
Description: lncRNA (ENSSSCG00000057658.1)
Source: RNAcentral
UGUUCCAAUAAUAAGUUAUUUACCAAAAAUACAGGAAAAAAAAGCAAAAUAUAAACAAUCAGUAGCUGGAUUUGGCUCACAAGUCAGUUUGCUGACCUCUGACCUCUAGACUUGUUUACCUGCACCGAAGUAUAUUGGUCUGGCCUAGAUAACAGUGUGGACAGAAGCAUGUACUUGACUGAUAGGUGAAUAUAGCAGACAUAGGUAACAGUGGCAGUGUUGGUUUUGUUUCACUGCCUCCUUAGGAUCUAUUUUCCUUACUGCCCUUUGGGAACCAUGAUUACACCAUUCUCAGCCCUCAUGCUUUUGCUUGGAUUGGACUCUUGGCCUCAUGGGUAGAGAAUAUGAUCCAAAUCUAACCAAGGAACACAACUAUCCCCCUCACCACAGUGACUAUUACAGAGAUGGGGAAGUGGUCCCAACUUGUCCAAUCAGAGUGAGGGAUGUGAUGUGUUCAACCAGGAGGAAUUCUCCAAAGCAGACCCAGAGACAAAGGUUUGAGUGUAAGUUAUUUGGGUUUUUUUUGUCGUUGUUGUUGAGAAGUACUCCUAGGAAAUGCAGGUUGAUGUCAGCAAGGCACCACUGAAGGGACUGGUGCUUCAUUCUGCUGGGGACCCUGAGAGCCAGUGUAGAACAGGAGCCUCAGAGAUAACCCACUGCAGGUGCACAUACAAACCCCAGGAGUCACUGGUUGAGGGCUACUCCUCAGGGGUUCAUCCCUACAUCUUCUGACCUGCCCUGAGCACUAACAGAGUGGAUAUUUCAGCCACAAAGGGAUGAAUGCAAGCAAAGAGAUACAGAUGCUGGAAUGUGGAAGUCAGGGCUUAUUGCACUGAUGUAAGAUCCAUAGGGAACUGGGUGGAGUAUCUACAUUUUUCCUACCAUAGAAUUUCAUUAGUCUCCGUCUUAGGUUUCUGAAGAAACCAGGGCCUUAUUUGACUCAGUUUGCCCCUCUGAAUCACACUGUACCUGAAGUCAUUUCAUGGACAUUUUAGCAACAUAAGCCAACAAAUUUCCUAACUGCUUAAAUCAACAUGAGCCAAGCUUCUUAUUGUAUAAAUCAAGGACUAAAGAAAACACAUGGGAAGUUGUCAUUUAUUUUCUACUGCUAUUGAUUCAUCACAUAGUCUGAUAAAUAUUUGGGGGUAUAUAAUAUUCCUUAGAGUAUAUAUAGAUAUAGAUAUACAAAUAUAGAUCACAUGUAUCAUCAGUAUUACAUAUAGAUACAGCCUAUAUAGCAUCUCUAUCUGCUUUUAUAUCUAUAUGGAGGGGGUCAGCGCUGCAUCCAGGAAAGAGAUACAUAAAUAUGUUGGUUUUUAAUGGUACACAAAGAGUUAAAUAAUAAUUAAUGAGGGAGCUCAGAGAAAAGUCACACAUCUCCGCAAUCCUUCCAUCUAUACACAACCGAAAGCCCAUCAAUGCCUGCUUCCAUGAAAAGAAGGAACUGUGCAAAGUUGCCCCACAGACUCUCAGAAACUGUUUAAUAAAAGAGAUAAAUAUCUAUUCCUCAUGAGCACUUAUUUUUGUCCACAACCUCUGUGCUUGGGGUUUAUCUUUCUCAUUUUUCCAUUCCUAUUUGCCGAAUGGAAUUAAAGGAUUAGAGUUGAGAUGGUCUGGACAAAUAGAAGAGGAUCAGAAGAUAAUAAGACCAGGAAAACCAAAUGUAGUCAUUUCAGGGAAAGUCAGAGAGUCAAGGGAAUAAGCAAAAGAUGACACACAAUUAUGAGAGUGGUAACGGGGUCAAAAAAAAAAGACAAAAGAAAAAUUUUUAUAAUGCCUUGAGCACACACUUCCCCUUUUGUGUGUUCUCUCAGGAAAUUGAGUACAUUUCUUUUAUAUUUUUAUUUGAACUGCCAUUUCAUUCAAUGUGAUUCUGUGCUUAUCCAUGCUUACUUAGGCUAAGUGUAUGAAACCCUUUAUAACCUGUGACCCGUGUGGUUUAAUCUAUGGUGUCUUAUUCAGCAGUCACAGUUCAUCAGUGUAGAAAUAGAUUAAGAUGGAUUCCAUUCAUGCAGCCACAUUUCUCUUGAACAUCUUCUAUGAAGGCCACUGCUCAUGGCACUAGUGAUUCAACUGUAAACAAACUAAAUAAAAAUCAUAUCCUCAGGGAGUUUUCAUUGACUGUGGAAAGACAGGUGAUAGUCAAAAUAAAUAAAAUGUGUAAUAAAUUAGAUGAUGGUAAGUGAUAUGUAGAAAAAUACAGCAAGAAAAAUGACUCAGGAGUUCUGGGAGGGGAGGGCCUCUUUGAGAUGAUGAUUUUUCAGCAAAAGCCCAAAGGAGGUGAGGGGUGAGUCUAGUCGUGUAGAUACCUGGCAAGUGCAAAGGCCAUGAGGUGGGAGAGUGCUGGACCUUUCUUGGAACUGCAAGGAGGCUAAUACACAACUAGAGCAGGGAUCAGCAAACUUUUUUAUAAAGAACCAGAUGGUAAAAGAUUUUCAGCUUUGAGGGCAAUAUAGUCCCCAUAAUAAUCCCUCAACCCAAGCACUGUGGUAUGAAAGCUGCCAAAGACAACAGACCUUAGUCUAAAGUUAUAGGUAGGUGGUAAUGAGGUUUGAAUGUGCAGGGCCAUAUACAUCAUGGUAAUAACUUUGGAUUUUACUUUGUAUGUUAGUUUCUCCAGAGAAAUUUACCAACAGAACCAAUAGGAUCUGUGUGUGUGUGUGUGUGUGUGUGUGUGUGUGUGUGUGUGUGAAUAUAACAAGUACCCAUAUCUACAGUUGACAAGUCAAAGAUCCAGGAGAGCUGAUGGUAUCACCCCAAACCAAAUCCAAAGGCCUGAAACUCAGGAAAGCAAGGGAUAUAUUUCCAGUCUGAAGACCAGCAGCCUUGAACUGAAGAAAGACUCAAUGUUUCAAUGUUAGUCUAAAGGCAGGAGAAAGCCUGAUAUCUCACCCAGUUUGAAGGCUGUCAUACAGGAGGAAUUCCCUCCAUUCAGGGGAGAUCAGCCCUUCCAUUCUACUCUGGCCAUCAACUGAUUGGAUAAGGCCCACCCACAUUUAGGACAAUGAUCUGCUUUACUCAGUCUACCAAUGUAAAUGUGAAACCCACCCAAAAAUACCAUCACCAAACAGCCAGAAUUAUGUUUGACCAAAUAUCUAAGCACCAUGUGAAUCAGUCAAAUUGACACAUCAAAUAAACCACAUUUUACAUGGGAUAAAGAGCUAUUAAAGGGUUUUGAACAGUGAAAUGACAAAAUUUGCUUUAUGUGUUAACCACAUCAUUCUAACUGGUAAGCCAACAUAGACAUAAGGAGACCAGCUAUGAAGCUAUUUCUGUUUUCCAGGAAAUAGGUAAUGGUGGUGUGGACAAAGUUGGUAACUGUGGAGGUGGUGAUAAAUUACCAGAUUCUUAUUACUCUGAGCAAUAAUUAAGUUGGUUUUUGAUAGUAGCACUGAGUAAAUUUCCUGAUUACCUGUGACUGUGGAAGAAUGAUUACAGUAGGAUGGACUCUAAGACUUUGUCCUAAGUUGCCCCCAACUGAGAAAAGAAACUGGUUCAGGGGAAAGAAUAGGGGCUGUUUUGGACAGAUGAUAUUAAAAGGUUUAUUAGACACCCAAGUGGCAAAGUAGAGGCAAAGGUCCAAAAGUUUGGAAAAAAGGGACCCCUCUUGCACUGUUGGUGUGAAUGUAAGCUGAUACAGCCACUAUGGAGAACAGUAUGAAGGUACCUUAGAAAUCUAUACAGAGAACUACCAUAUGACCCAGCAAUCCCACUCUUAGGCAUAUAUCUGGACAAAACUCUCCUUAAAAAAGACACAUGCACCCGCAUGUUCAUUGCAGCACUAUUCACAAUAGCCAAGACAUGGAAUCAACCCAAAUGUCCACUGAUAGAUGAUUGGAUUAGGAAGAUGUGGUAUAUAUACACAAUGGAAUACUACUUGGCCAUAAAAAAGAACAAAAUAAUGCCAUUUGUAGCAACAUCAGUGAAACUAGGGACUCUCAUCCUGAAUGAAGUAAGUCAGAAAGAGAAAGAUAAAUACCAUAAGAUAUCACUUAUAUCUGGAAUCUAAUAUAUGGCACAAAGGAACCUUUCCACAGAAAAGAAAAUCAUGGACUUGGAGGAUAGACUUGUGGUUGCCAAGGGUGAAGGUGGGGGGACUGGGAGGGACUGGAAGCUUGGGGUAAAUAGAUGCAGAAUGUUGCCUUCAGGAGGGAUUAGCAAUGGGAUCUUGCUGUGUAGCACUGGGAACUCUGUCUAGUCAAUUAUGAUGGAACAUGUCAUGUGAGAACAAAGAAUGUAUACAUGUAUGUGUAAAUGGGUCACCUUGCUGUGCAGUAGAAAAAAUAUAUAUACAAUGAAAU